This 619-nucleotide ribosomal RNA is filed under the name Burkholderia cepacia. RNAcentral describes it as "bacterial SSU rRNA". It matches the Rfam family "Bacterial small subunit ribosomal RNA", at positions 104 to 719 of the family's 1533-position model. Lineage: Bacteria; Pseudomonadati; Pseudomonadota; Betaproteobacteria; Burkholderiales; Burkholderiaceae. The record is from RNAcentral.
GGGUGAGUAAUACAUCGGAACAUGUCCUGUAGUGGGGGAUAGCCCGGCGAAAGCCGGAUUAAUACCGCAUACGAUCUACGGAUGAAAGCGGGGGACCUUCGGGCCUCGCGCUAUAGGGUUGGCCGAUGGCUGAUUAGCUAGUUGGUGGGGUAAAGGCCUACCAAGGCGACGAUCAGUAGCUGGUCUGAGAGGACGACCAGCCACACUGGGACUGAGACACGGCCCAGACUCCUACGGGAGGCAGCAGUGGGGAAUUUUGGACAAUGGGCGAAAGCCUGAUCCAGCAAUGCCGCGUGUGUGAAGAAGGCCUUCGGGUUGUAAAGCACUUUUGUCCGGAAAGAAAUCCUUGGCUCUAAUACAGUCGGGGGAUGACGGUACCGGAAGAAUAAGCACCGGCUAACUACGUGCCAGCAGCCGCGGUAAUACGUAGGGUGCGAGCGUUAAUCGGAAUUACUGGGCGUAAAGCGUGCGCAGGCGGUUUGCUAAGACCGAUGUGAAAUCCCCGGGCUCAACCUGGGAACUGCAUUGGUGACUGGCAGGCUAGAGUAUGGCAGAGGGGGGUAGAAUUCCACGUGUAGCAGUGAAAUGCGUAGAGAUGUGGAGGAAUACCGAUGGCGAA